CAAAGCUUCAAUGCAGAAAUCACGGCUGCACAAAAGUACAUGAAAUGGGGAGGUCACAUCAUAUUAGUGAUCAGCUGUCAUAAUCAGAAGAGGCCAGAGCUCCAUUUGAUUGAUCCAUUCAGACAGCAUUCAUUGAAUAUUGGAGGAACAGGACUCAGAUACAGCCUUCCAGAAGCUCACUUUCCUGCAGAGAAAAAAAUGGGAACACA
RNAcentral lists this long non-coding RNA (209 nucleotides) under Homo sapiens (human). RNAcentral's name for it is "HSALNT0056636". The record is from RNAcentral. Lineage: Eukaryota; Metazoa; Chordata; Mammalia; Primates; Hominidae.